Pelobates cultripes (western spadefoot toad) is the source of this 216-nucleotide non-coding RNA. Lineage: Eukaryota; Metazoa; Chordata; Amphibia; Anura; Pelobatidae. The record is from the annotation of a GenBank genome assembly.
GGUAUGUGUGUGUCUCUGUCAUGGUGUGUGUGUGUCUGUCUGUGUCAUGGUGUGUCUGUCUGUCAUGGUGUGUCUGUGUUUCUGUCUGUGUCACGGUGUGUGUCUGUCAUGGUAUGUGUGUGUCUCUGUCAUGGUGUGUGUGUGUCUGUCUGUGUCAUGGUGUGUCUGUCUGUCAUGGUGUGUCUGUGUUUCUGUCUGUGUCACGGUGUGUGUCUG